Molecule: long non-coding RNA, 526 nt
Organism: Alosa sapidissima (American shad)
Lineage: Eukaryota; Metazoa; Chordata; Actinopteri; Clupeiformes; Clupeidae
Exons: 3
Source: RefSeq, a predicted model, not a curated record
CUAAAAUUAUUGUAUAAUACUGUAGCGUGACUUUACAAUGUGAAGAUGUGAUAAUAAUUAAUAAUCAGACUCAUGAUUUAUUAUUAAAAGAUUUUUAGUCAUAUAACUGCUUAAAUCCAGCUUGCUCUAAAACAAAUAAAAAUGUGCAAAUGCUGCAAGAUAAUGAUAGACAACCAGUGUGAAACAAGUUAGACUUAUAAUGUUUCAAAACUUAGAAGUUUAGAAUUGAAGUGUGUUUUCUUAAUUAAAAGCAUAAAUUGUUUUUUUCUAGAAUAAUCUGUUAUGAUUUUGCUUAAACUUAAAGAGUGUUUUUUCCUAAAUAUAUAUAAGAAAGUUUGCUUAUAAAACUUAAAAUGUUUUGCUACAUAAAAUGUGUUUGCUUAGAUAUAAAAAGGUUGUGUUAGAAUUAAAGUGUGUUACUGUAUGCUAAAUGAGAUGUGCUUUGAACAAAAUGUAAAGACAGAAUGUAAGAACAUAAUGUACCAGCUGUAAGAAACUGUUUGUCAGCAAAACAAAAAGCUGACUG